This 497-nucleotide ribosomal RNA is filed under the name uncultured bacterium. RNAcentral describes it as "partial 16S ribosomal RNA". It matches the Rfam family "Bacterial small subunit ribosomal RNA", at positions 28 to 507 of the family's 1533-position model. The record is from RNAcentral.
GAUGAACGCUGGCGGCGUGCCUAAUACAUGCAAGUCGAGCGAACAGACGAGGAGCUUACUCCUCUGACGUUAGCGGCGGACGGGUGAGUAACACGUGGAUAACCUACCUAUAAGACUGGGAUAACUUCGGGAAACCGGAGCUAAUACCGGAUAACAUGUUGAACCGCAUGGUUCAACAGUGAAAGACGGUCUUGCUGUCACUGAUAGAUGGAUCCGCGUCGCAUUAGCUAGUUGGUAAGGUAACGGCUUACCAAGGCAACGAUGCGUAGCCGACCUGAGAGGGUGAUCGGCCACACUGGAACUGAGACACGGUCCAGACUCCUACGGGAGGCAGCAGUAGGGAAUCUUCCGCAAUGGGCGAAAGCCUGACGGAGCAACGCCGCGUGAGUGAAGAAGGUCUUCGGAUCGUAAAACUCUGUUAUUAGGGAAGAACAAAUGUGUAAGUAACUAUGCACGUCUUGACGGUACCUAAUCAGAAAGCCACGGCUAACUACGUG